UCCGGUUUAACACCGGCAGUCCCUUUAGAGUGCCCAACUGAAUGAUGGCAACUAAAGGCAAGGGUUGCGCUCGUUGCGGGACUUAACCCAACAUCUCACGACACGAGCUGACGACAGCCAUGCAGCACCUGUGCACGGGCCCCGAAGGACACCACAUCUCUGUGGCUUUUCCUGCGUAGUUCAACCCAGGUAAGGUUCUUCGCGUUGCCUCGAAUUAAACCACACGCUCCGCUGCUUGUGCGGGCCCCCGCCUAUUCCUUUGAGUUUUAACCUUGCGGCCGUAGUCCCCAGGCGGUGAACUUAAUGCGUUAGCUGCGCCACUGAAGAGCAAGCUCCCCAACGGCUAGCAUCCAUCGUUUACAGCGUGGACUAC
This 373-nucleotide unclassified non-coding RNA is filed under the name uncultured bacterium. Its description in RNAcentral is "contains 16S-23S intergenic spacer region". The record is from RNAcentral.